GAUUCUGGCUCAGGAUGAACGCUGGCGGCGUGCCUAACACAUGCAAGUCGAACGAAGCAUAUCGGACGGAGAUUCGUCGAAGACCGGUAUGACUUAGUGGCGGACGGGUGAGUAAUGUAUGAGCAACCUGCCUUUCAGAGGGGGACAACAGUUGGAAACGGCUGCUAAUACCGCGUAACGUAUUUAGGAGGCAUCUCCUGAAUACCAAAGGAGCAAUCCGCUGAAAGAUGGGCUCAUAUCUGAUUAGCUUGUUGGCGGGGUAACGGCCCACCAAGGCGACGAUCAGUAGCCGGACUGAGAGGUUGAACGGCCACAUUGGGACUGAGAUACGGCCCAGACUCCUACGGGAGGCAGCAGUGGGGAAUAUUGGGCAAUGGGCGAAAGCCCUGACCCAGCAACGCCGCGUGAAGGAAGAAGGUCUUCGGAUUGUAAACUUCUUUAUGAGGGACGAAGGACGUGACGGUACCUCAUGAAUAAGCCACGGCUAACUACGUGCCAGCCGCGGC
This 506-nucleotide ribosomal RNA is filed under the name uncultured bacterium. RNAcentral's name for it is "bacterial SSU rRNA". It matches the Rfam family "Bacterial small subunit ribosomal RNA", at positions 15 to 518 of the family's 1533-position model. The record is from RNAcentral.